CAGUCGCCACGGGAAUACGAAGGGGGCUAGCGUUGCUCGGAAUGACUGGGCGUAAAGGGCGCGUAGGCGGUUUUGACAGUCAGAUGUGAAAUUCCUGGGCUUAACCUGGGGGCUGCAUUUGAGACGCCAAGACUAGAGUGUGAGAGAGGGUUGUGGAAUUCCCAGUGUAGAGGUGAAAUUCGUAGAUAUUGGGAAGAACACCUGUGGCGAAAGCGGCUCACUGGACCAUUACUGACGCUGAGGCGCGAAAGCUAGGGGAGCAAACAGAAUUAGAUACCCCAGUAGUCCCUGUCUCUUAUAC
Molecule: ribosomal RNA, 301 nt
Filed under: uncultured bacterium
Lineage: Bacteria
Description: partial 16S ribosomal RNA
Rfam family: Bacterial small subunit ribosomal RNA
Source: RNAcentral